AGCGAACGCUGGCGGCAGGCUUAACACAUGCAAGUCGAGCGGGCAUCCUUGUGGUGUCAGCGGCAGACGGGUGAGUAACGCGUGGGAACGUGCCCUACGGUUCGGAAUAACUCAGGGAAACUUGAGAUAAUACCGGAUACGCGCGAGAGCAGAAAGGUUUAUCUGCCGAAGGAUCGGCCCGCGUCUGAUUAGCUAGUUGGUGAGGUUACGGCUCCCCAAGGCGACGAUCAGUAGCUGGUCUGAGAGGAAGAUCAGCCACACUGGGACUGAGACACGGCCCAGACUCCUACGGGAGGCAGCCGUGGGGAAUAUUGGACUAUGGGGUCAACCCUGAUCCAGCCAUGCCGCGUGAGUGAUUACGGCCUUAGGGUUGUAAAGCUCUUUUCUCCGGGACGAUAAUGACGGUACCGGAGGAAUAAGCCCCGGCUAACUUCGUG
This 437-nucleotide ribosomal RNA is filed under the name uncultured bacterium. RNAcentral describes it as "partial 16S ribosomal RNA". It matches the Rfam family "Bacterial small subunit ribosomal RNA", at positions 29 to 507 of the family's 1533-position model. The record is from RNAcentral.